Calocera cornea HHB12733 is the source of this 82-nucleotide non-coding RNA. Lineage: Eukaryota; Fungi; Basidiomycota; Dacrymycetes; Dacrymycetales; Dacrymycetaceae. The record is from the annotation of a GenBank genome assembly.
GUCUCGGUGGUGUAGUUGGUUAUCACGUACGCCUCACAUUGGUGUCCGCGUAAGGUCCUGAGUUCGAUCCUCGGCUGAGACA